Chelonoidis abingdonii (Abingdon island giant tortoise) is the source of this 246-nucleotide non-coding RNA. The record is from RefSeq and is a predicted model, not a curated record. Lineage: Eukaryota; Metazoa; Chordata; Testudines; Testudinidae.
GAAAAUACUUAACUGUUGUGAUUUUUUGCUUGGACUUGGGAAGCAAUUUCCUUCAUGGCACAGUGGGACGGACUUUGGACAUCCGGCCUUCCUUUGGUGCACUCAGCAGGGAUAGGGUGACCAGAUGUCCUAAUUUUUGGGCCUUUUUAUAUGGGCUUCUAUUACCCUCCAGGCCCUGUCCCGAUUUUUCACAUUUGCUCCCUGGUCACCCUAAGCGAGGAUCAUCUGAGGUUGAUACUGAGCUGG